AGAGUUUGAUCCUGGCUCAGAUUGAACGCUGGCGGCAGGCCUAACACAUGCAAGUCGAACGGUAACAGGAAGAAGCUUGCUUCUUUGCUGACGAGUGGCGGACGGGUGAGUAAUGUCUGGGAAACUGCCUGAUGGAGGGGGAUAACUACUGGAAACGGUAGCUAAUACCGCAUAACGUCGCAAGACCAAAGAGGGGGACCUUCGGGUCUCUUGCCAUCGGAUGUGCCCAGAUGGGAUUAGCUAGUAGGUGGGGUAACGGCUCACCUAGGCGACGAUCCCUAGCUGGUCUGAGAGGAUGACCAGCCACACUGGAACUGAGACACGGUCCAGACUCCUACGGGAGGCAGCAGUGGGGAAUAUUGCACAAUGGGCGCAAGCCUGAUGCAGCCAUGCCGCGUGUAUGAAGAAGGCCUUCGGGUUGUAAAGUACUUUCAGCGGGGAGGAAGGGAGUAAAGUUAAUACCUUUGCUCAUUGACGUUACCCGCAGAAGAAGCACCGGCUAACUCCGUGCCAGCAGCCGCGGUAAUACGGAGGGUGCAAGCGUUAAUCGGAAUUACUGGGCGUAAAGCGCAAGCAGGCGGUUUGUUAAGUCAGAUGUGAAAUCCCCGGGCUCAACCUGGGAACUGCAUCUGAUACUGGCAAGCUUGAGUCUCGUAGAGGGGGGUAGAAUUCCAGGUGUAGCGGUGAAAUGCGUAGAGAUCUGGAGGAAUACCGGUGGCGAAGGCGGCCCCCUGGACGAAGACUGACGCUCAGGUGCGAAAGCGUGGGGAGCAAACAGGAUUAGAUACCCUGGUAGUCCACGCCGUAAACGAUGUCGACUUGGAGGUUGUGCCCUUGAGGCGUGGCUUCCGGAGCUAACGCGUUAAGUCGACCGCCUGGGGAGUACGGCCGCAAGGUUAAAACUCAAAUGAAUUGACGGGGGCCCGCACAAGCGGUGGAGCAUGUGGUUUAAUUCGAUGCAACGCGAAGAACCUUACCUGGUCUUGACAUCCACAGAACUUUCCAGAGAUGGAUUGGUGCCUUCGGGAACUGUGAGACAGGUGCUGCAUGGCUGUCGUCAGCUCGUGUUGUGAAAUGUUGGGUUAAGUCCCGCAACGAGCGCAACCCUUAUCCUUUGUUGCCAGCGGUCCGGCCGGGAACUCAAAGGAGACUGCCAGUGAUAAACUGGAGGAAGGUGGGGAUGACGUCAAGUCAUCAUGCCCCUUAUGACCUGGGCUACACACGUGCUACAAUGGGAAGUACAACGAGUCGCAAAGUCGCGAGGCUAAGCUAAUCUCUUAAAGCUUCUCUCAGUUCGGAUUGUAGGCUGCAACUCGCCUACAUGAAGCCGGAAUCGCUAGUAAUCGCGGAUCAGCACGCCGCGGUGAAUACGUUCCCGGGCCUUGCACACACCGCCCGUCA
Molecule: ribosomal RNA, 1401 nt
Filed under: uncultured bacterium
Lineage: Bacteria
Description: bacterial SSU rRNA
Rfam family: Bacterial small subunit ribosomal RNA
Source: RNAcentral